UGGGGAAUAUUGGACAAUGGGCGAAAGCCUGAUCCAGCCAUGCCGCGUGUGUGAAGAAGGUCUUCGGAUUGUAAAGCACUUUAAGUUGUGAGGAAGGGCAUUAACCUAAUACGUUAGUGUUUUGACGUUACCGACAGAAUAAGCACCGGCUAACUCUGUGCCAGCAGCCGCGGUAAUACAGAGGGUGCAAGCGUUAAUCGGAAUUACUGGGCGUAAAGCGCGCGUAGGUGGUUUGUUAAGUUGGAUGUGAAAUCCCCGGGCUCAACCUGGGAACUGCAUUCAAAACUGACUGACUAGAGUAUGGUAGAGGGUGGUGGAAUUUCCUGUGUAGCGGUGAAAUGCGUAGAUAUAGGAAGGAACACCAGUGGCGAAGGCGACCACCUGGACUAAUACUGACACUGAGGUGCGAAAGCGUGGGGAGCAAACA
This 427-nucleotide ribosomal RNA is filed under the name uncultured bacterium. Its description in RNAcentral is "partial 16S ribosomal RNA". It matches the Rfam family "Bacterial small subunit ribosomal RNA", at positions 355 to 774 of the family's 1533-position model. The record is from RNAcentral.